UACGUAGGGUGCGAGCGUUAAUCGGAAUUACUGGGCGUAAAGCGUGCGCAGGCGGUUUUGUAAGACAGAGGUGAAAUCCCCGGGCUCAACCUGGGAACUGCCUUUGUGACUGCAAGGCUGGAGUGCGGCAGAGGGGGAUGGAAUUCCGCGUGUAGCAGUGAAAUGCGUAGAGAUGUGGAGGAACACCGAUGGCGAAGGCAGCCCCCUGGGCCAAUACUGACACUCAUGCACGAAAGCCAGGGGCGCGAACCGG
RNAcentral lists this ribosomal RNA (253 nucleotides) under uncultured bacterium. Its description in RNAcentral is "partial 16S ribosomal RNA". It matches the Rfam family "Bacterial small subunit ribosomal RNA", at positions 524 to 776 of the family's 1533-position model. The record is from RNAcentral.